GCUGACGAGUGGCGGACGGGUGAGUAAUGUCUGGGAAACUGCCUGAUGGAGGGGGAUAACUACUGGAAACGGUAGCUAAUACCGCAUAACGUCGCAAGACCAAAGAGGGGGACCUUCGGGCCUCUUGCCAUCGGAUGUGCCCAGAUGGGAUUAGCUAGUAGGUGGGGUAACGGCUCACCUAGGCGACGAUCCCUAGCUGGUCUGAGAGGAUGACCAGCCACACUGGAACUGAGACACGGUC
Molecule: ribosomal RNA, 241 nt
Filed under: Escherichia coli
Lineage: Bacteria; Pseudomonadati; Pseudomonadota; Gammaproteobacteria; Enterobacterales; Enterobacteriaceae
Description: partial 16S ribosomal RNA
Rfam family: Bacterial small subunit ribosomal RNA
Source: RNAcentral